ACUGGAGUUGUAGCUGGCCCUUAAAAACGGCAUGUGCACGCUCCUUUCACUAAUCCACACACACCUGUGCACCUUCGCGGGGGUCUUCUUUUCGGAGAAGGCUCGCGUCCCUUUACACACCCUUUGUAUGUCUUAAGAAUGUCUACUCGAUGUAAUAAAACGCAUCUAAUACAACUUUCAACAACGGAUCUCUUGGCUCUCGCAUCGAUGAAGAACGCAGCGAAAUGCGAUAAGUAAUGUGAAUUGCAGAAUUCAGUGAAUCAUCGAAUCUUUGAACGCACCUUGCGCCCUUUGGUAUUCCGAAGGGCACACCUGUUUGAGUGUCGUGAAAUUCUCAACCCUCUUCAUUUUUUUUUGAAUGAAGCAGUGGCUUGGACUUGGAGGUUUUUUGCCGGGCCUCACCGCUCGGCUCCUCUCAAAUGCAUUAGUGCGUCUUGUUGCGACGUGCGCCUCGGUGUGAUAAUUAUCUACGCUGUGGUGCGCUUGCUUCUGUGGAGACGCGCUUUCUAACCGUCCGAAAGGACAGCUUUCAUCGAACUUUGACCUCAAAUCAGGUGGGACUACCCGCUGAACUUAAGCAUAUCAAUAAGCGGAGGAAAAGAAACUAACAAGGAUUCCCCUAGUAACUGCGAGUGAAGCGGGAAAAGCUCAAAUUUAAAAUCUGGCGGUCUUCUGGCCGUCCGAGUUGUAGUCUGGAGAAGCGUUUUCCGCGUUGGACCGUGUACAAGUUUCCUGGAACGGAGCGUCAUAGAGGGUGAGAAUCCCGUCUUUGACACGGAUCCCAAUGCUUUGUGAUGCGCUCUCAAAGAGUCGAGUUGUUUGGGAAUGCAGCUCAAAA
RNAcentral lists this ribosomal RNA (838 nucleotides) under Stereum sp. 1 RG-2014. Its description in RNAcentral is "eukaryotic LSU rRNA". The stretch from base 541 to 838 matches the Rfam family "Eukaryotic large subunit ribosomal RNA", at positions 1 to 292 of the family's 3401-position model. Lineage: Eukaryota; Fungi; Basidiomycota; Agaricomycetes; Russulales; Stereaceae. The record is from RNAcentral.